RNAcentral lists this ribosomal RNA (420 nucleotides) under uncultured bacterium. RNAcentral's name for it is "bacterial SSU rRNA". It matches the Rfam family "Bacterial small subunit ribosomal RNA", at positions 917 to 1341 of the family's 1533-position model. The record is from RNAcentral.
GGGCCCGCACAAGCGGUGGAGCAUGUGGUUUAAUUCGAUGAUACGCGAGGAACCUUACCAGGACUUAAAUGUAAGUUGCAUGAUUCAGAAAUGAAUCUUUCUUCGGACUACUUACAAGGUGCUGCAUGGUUGUCGUCAGCUCGUGCCGUGAGGUGUCAGGUUAAGUCCUAUAACGAGCGCAACCCCUAUCGUUAGUUGCCAUCGGUUCGGCCGGGCACUCUGGAGGAACUGCCGGUGACAAGCCGGAGGAAGGUGGGGAUGACGUCAAGUCCUCAUGGCCCUUAUGGGCUGGGCUACACACGUGCUACAAUGGCGGUGACAAUGGGCAGCGAAGGGGUGACCCGGAGCAAAUCUCAAAAAGCCGUCUCAGUUCGGAUUGUACUCUGCAACUCGACUCCGUGAAGUCGGAAUUGCUAGUAA